This 450-nucleotide ribosomal RNA is filed under the name uncultured organism. RNAcentral's name for it is "partial 16S ribosomal RNA". It matches the Rfam family "Bacterial small subunit ribosomal RNA", at positions 330 to 797 of the family's 1533-position model. The record is from RNAcentral.
CGUACACUCCUGCGGGAGGCAGCAGUGGGGAAUAUUGGACAAUGGGCGCAAGCCUGAUCCAGCCAUGCCGCGUGAGUGAUGAAGGCCCUAGGGUUGUAAAGCUCUUUCACCGGUGAAGAUAAUGACGGUAACCGGAGAAGAAGCCCCGGCUAACUUCGUGCCAGCAGCCGCGGUAAUACGAAGGGGGCUAGCGUUGUUCGGAUUUACUGGGCGUAAAGCGCACGUAGGCGGACUAUUAAGUCAGGGGUGAAAUCCCGGGGCUCAACCCCGGAACUGCCUUUGAUACUGGUAGUCUUGAGUUCGAGAGAGGUGAGUGGAAUUCCGAGUGUAGAGGUGAAAUUCGUAGAUAUUCGGAGGAACACCAGUGGCGAAGGCGGCUCACUGGCUCGAUACUGACGCUGAGGUGCGAAAGCGUGGGGAGCAAACAGGAUUAGAAACCCGUGUAGUCCC